This is a long non-coding RNA of Peromyscus leucopus (white-footed mouse), 394 nucleotides long. RefSeq lists it as uncharacterized. The record is from RefSeq and is a predicted model, not a curated record. The transcript is spliced from 2 exons. NCBI's taxonomy places the organism in Eukaryota, Metazoa, Chordata, Mammalia, Rodentia, Cricetidae.
CCCCCACCCCCCUACCCCCGGUGGUGCCAUAUUGACCUGACCGCUCUAGGAGAGAGGAGCAUGGAUUCUUCUGACAGCUUGCUUCUUUCAUGUGGCUAGCUGGCAGUGUGCAAAGCCAAUCGGCUCAUCCUACAGUCUGUUUUUAAUCACCAUCGUCUCCACACUGUGUCACUUGAGUCUACAGAGUGAUUUCUGGAGGACGCGGAAGCGGGAUGUAUGAAGCUGGGUGGGGUUGGUGGGAGUAUGAUCAUCUCCGCGCAUCCCACCCCAGCCACACUAUCCUUCCUGCUGCUCCCAGACAAGGCCUCUUAAGAGUUAUCUCCUAAAGAACAUGCCUAAAGCAGGCUUUGCCUCCUAGUUAUCAAUCAUCGGAUAAAGAUAUUGAUUAGCAAUA